GACGAACGCUGGCGGCGUGCCUAAUACAUGCAAGUUGAGCGCUGAAGGUUGGUACUUGUACCAACUGGAUGAGCAGCGAACGGGUGAGUAACGCGUGGGGAAUCUGCCUUUGAGCGGGGGACAACAUUUGGAAACGAAUGCUAAUACCGCAUAAAAACUUUAAACACAAGUUUUAAGUUUGAAAGAUGCAAUUGCAUCACUCAAAGAUGAUCCCGCGUUGUAUUAGCUAGUUGGUGAGGUAAAGGCUCACCAAGGCGAUGAUACAUAGCCGACCUGAGAGGCUGAGAGGCGAAGCUGGGACGGAGACACGACCCAAAAUACUGCGGGUGGGAGCAGUAGGGAAUCUUCAGGAGUGGAAGAAAGUGUGACCGAGCAACGCCGCGUGAGUGCAGGAGGUAUCCAGAUCGUGAGAAUGUGUUAGUAGAGAAGAACGUUGGUGAGUGUGGAAAGCUCAUCAAGUGACGGUAACUGCAGAGAAAGCGACGGCUAACUACGUG
Molecule: ribosomal RNA, 497 nt
Filed under: uncultured bacterium
Lineage: Bacteria
Description: partial 16S ribosomal RNA
Rfam family: Bacterial small subunit ribosomal RNA
Source: RNAcentral